Schistosoma haematobium is the source of this 45-nucleotide non-coding RNA. Lineage: Eukaryota; Metazoa; Platyhelminthes; Trematoda; Strigeidida; Schistosomatidae. The record is from Rfam.
AUCUGGCUAACCAGUUCCAAAUAGCACGAAACGCGCGUCCUGCAU